RNAcentral lists this ribosomal RNA (427 nucleotides) under uncultured bacterium. RNAcentral describes it as "partial 16S ribosomal RNA". It matches the Rfam family "Bacterial small subunit ribosomal RNA", at positions 355 to 774 of the family's 1533-position model. The record is from RNAcentral.
UGGGGAAUAUUGCACAAUGGGCGCAAGCCUGAUGCAGCCAUGCCGCGUGUGUGAAGAAGGCCUUCGGGUUGUAAAGCACUUUCAGCGAGGAGGAAGGUGGUGAGCUUAAUACGCUUAUCAAUUGACGUUACUCGCAGAAGAAGCACCGGCUAACUCCGUGCCAGCAGCCGCGGUAAUACGGAGGGUGCAAGCGUUAAUCGGAAUUACUGGACGUAAAGCGCACGCAGGCGGUUUGUUAAGUCAGAUGUGAAAUCCCCGGGCUCAACCUUGGAACUGCAUUUGAAACUGGCAAGCUAGAGUCUCGUAGAGGGGGGUAGAAUUCCAGGUGUAGCGGUGAAAUGCGUAGAGAUCUGGAGGAAUACCGGUGGCGAAGGCGGCCCCCUGGACGAAGACUGACGCUCAGGUGCGAAAGCGUGGGGAGCAAACA